GCCCCCGACGUCCCCCCAUCGAUCGCUUCCUCCCGUGUUCAGACCAGCGGAAGAAUCCGUCUGGGACACAUCAGGCCGUGACCCGUCCAUCCAGCCGCCUGACCCUCCGUCCAUACAUCCGCCCAGCCAUCCAUCGUCUCUGUUCCAGUCCUCCGGUCCGGAUCAACAAACUCUUCUGCACCGCUCGUUCCACAGACUGAGAUAACGGAGAAAGAGAGGCGGACGUCGGAAGUAGGGUUACUGUGUUGGCGAGCUGGUGAUGUCGUGAACAGGAAGAGAGGCGUGAGCCGCAGGAAGUGGUCGACGUGCCAGAGAGGGACUCCCUCUGAUGGGAGGGGGCGAGCGACACUGACACUCCUGCAGAGAGAGAGAGAGAGAGAGAGAGAGACCACCUGUUCCAAUGUGAGGUUCACAUCCACACACACACACACACACACACACACACACACACACACACACACACACACACACACACACACACACACAGUCAGGGGAAGCUAUUUUGGAGUUGUCGUGGUUCCACAGAGAACACAUGCCAUGAUGAUCACGACUCUGUGUGUGUGUGUGUGUGUGUGUGUGUGUGUGUGUGUGUGUAUCUUUUCCCUUUAACUCUCUGAAACCUUCUUGUUUUUAAUGUAGGCAGCUGAUCACGUGACUUGUACUUCCUGUUGUUGUCGUGCUUCAGCAUCUCUAAUAAAAACACAGUGAGAUCUUAUCUAACCUGAGUUCAGAUGAAAUCAUCGCUCUCACAUUUUUUUUGCUUUUCUUCCAGAGAUGACCAUGUUUGAGUCACAGAAAUAAGAAAAUAAUUCCACUGCUGCUCGUCUGGUGAGAAGCCACAUCUUUGUUUGGUAUCAAGAGAUGGAGAGGCACUUAUCUUAAAUAUCUGAAUAUCCAGCGCCAAGUUAAUUUGGACCGUCCUCUCCAGGAACACUGUCGUAUACGUGUUUAUUGUUCGGUGGCGACCUCCAGUGGCCGUAGUAAUUAUGAUGGGAGCAAAGGAGGAAGUCAGGGGAUGUUGUGUUACGAACAGUGUUGGGCACGUUACUUUAAAAAAGUAACUAGUUAUAGUUUAGAGUUAGUAACGGAAUCACUCCACUAUAAAAGUAACUAGUUACCAGGAAAAGUAACUAUUCAUUUUAGCUACUUGGCAUCCAUGUAUUUAGAAAAUGUCUUCUUUAUGGCGGACCGGCUCCUGUUCUCCCUGAUAUUUUACCAGUGAAGCUCUGAAGGAGUCUGAGUCAGCUGAUGAUAACAGGAGCAAGUUCUCAACAACAUACCUGUCUAUCAUUGCAUUCACUUCAGUCUGUGUCACAAGUUUUAGUGAAGCUGUUAGCGGAGCUCACGUUAGCCACACCUGGCCUGCUGUCAUCAUCAACAGCGUCAGCAACAGAGUUUUUGGCCAGUGUUAGUUUUGUAGAAGCGUGUGCUGCUGAGAGAUGAUUCAUUAGAUCAGAGUUGUUUACAACAGACGUGGACAAAAGAGAUUAAAGUAGUGUCUGUACUUCCACUUUGAAAACGUUAACUUUCCCUCCGGACUCUUCAUUGCUGCAGCUCACCUCUGCUAGUUUGUGUGUGAGGCUGCUGUGUGCGUGUGUAAACUGAACUCUGCCUCUGAUUGGUCUACAAACUCUCACUCUACCUUAGAGAGCCAAUCGCCCUCACUUAUGCGGUUGUCCCGCCCCUCCCUCCUCCCUCUGCAGCUCCGGUGGCUGAGAGCUGAGUCGGAUGACAGCAGCUUCAAUGAGCAGCUUCAGUUUGUAACGCGCCACAUUUAAUAGUCGGUAACGGCGUUGUAAUGAUGGAAAUAGUAAUUAGUUAGAUUACCUGUUACUGAAAGAAAGUAACGCCGUUAUUCCCAACUCUGACAGAGUCCACGUAUGGAAACUACUUUCACCCGAGAGAGCGUUAUGUUUCGUUUACUUUAAGUUUUCACACAGCAGCACAGGCCGGACAUUAAAAUCCAUUUAUUUAUUGAAACAAACCGAAUUGAUGAGACGAGCUGAUUCUGAAUCUCAUGUUAUUGAUCAACUAUCAGUGGAAUUUUCACUUUUUUUUCUUUCUCUUGGACGUCUGUGAACAAAAGACUCUCGUUCUUCUUCAGCUGAAUUGUGUCUGUGCACAACAGAAGUGAAGUCGUUUAAUAGAAGCACGAACAUUAU
Molecule: long non-coding RNA, 2162 nt
Filed under: Sparus aurata (gilthead seabream)
Lineage: Eukaryota; Metazoa; Chordata; Actinopteri; Spariformes; Sparidae
Description: lncRNA (ENSSAUG00010017161.1)
Source: RNAcentral